AAUCUUGUACCUCCGUCCGAAAAUACUUGUCAUUGAAAUGGAUGUAUCUAGAUGUAUUUUAGUUCUAGACACAUCCAUUUUGAUGACAAGUAAUUUCGGACGGAGGGAGUACUUG
Molecule: non-coding RNA, 115 nt
Organism: Triticum aestivum (bread wheat)
Lineage: Eukaryota; Viridiplantae; Streptophyta; Magnoliopsida; Poales; Poaceae
Source: Rfam